UUUAUAGGGUUACUUGUGUACCAAGCCAGAGAAAGAAAAUAAGAAUGGGAUUAUAUUUGCUGGGUAUUUUUAUUAUGAGUGAAAUAAAUGAUACUUCAAAAAAUAUUUAAAUAUCCGUUAUUCAUGACUUUCACUCUAACGGACACAUUCUAAUCUUGCAUUUCCUUGUUUCUUUUAUUUUGUUCGAUUUACAGGUUUGCGUGUGUGAUAGUGAUCAUCAUCAAUGGGGA
RNAcentral lists this long non-coding RNA (230 nucleotides) under Eutrema salsugineum. Its description in RNAcentral is "long non-coding RNA (ESAL_LNC002145)". Lineage: Eukaryota; Viridiplantae; Streptophyta; Magnoliopsida; Brassicales; Brassicaceae. The record is from RNAcentral.